CGUUAAAAAUUUCAUCUAUUUUUAUUAUUAAAAAUUGUUGUGGUUGAUAGAAUUACAAGAUAGUUACACAUGGUGUGCCCCCAUACUGAUGUACAUGGAACAGUUUUUAACAGUAGAAAUAGAUGAAUUUUUAACA
Non-coding RNA from Gossypium hirsutum (cotton), 136 nucleotides. Lineage: Eukaryota; Viridiplantae; Streptophyta; Magnoliopsida; Malvales; Malvaceae. The record is from Rfam.